Molecule: microRNA precursor, 96 nt
Filed under: Chinchilla lanigera (long-tailed chinchilla)
Lineage: Eukaryota; Metazoa; Chordata; Mammalia; Rodentia; Chinchillidae
Description: miRNA (ENSCLAG00000020842.1)
Source: RNAcentral
GCGGUAGGAAUCUGGCACUGUAGCUCCUGUAUGAAAACAGUAGCUGGUGGUGCCUGCACCUACAAUACCACUUCUGCAGUCACAGUCAAGUCAGCC